Long non-coding RNA from Amphibalanus amphitrite, 1361 nucleotides. RefSeq lists it as uncharacterized. The record is from RefSeq and is a predicted model, not a curated record. The transcript has 2 exons. NCBI's taxonomy places the organism in Eukaryota, Metazoa, Arthropoda, Thecostraca, Balanomorpha, Balanidae.
CCGGGAGUCGCCGCCCCGGAGCGGGCGCGCGGCGGCCGUGACACGGCAGAGGUGGAGGACAUCUGCGGUCUGGUGAUCCGCGCGGUGAAGGAUCGUCUACCCGGACUCGACAUACGUGAAGAGGACAUAGAUCGGGCGCAUAGGCUGCCCGGUCCCAACCACCGCGUGAUCGUCAGAUUCGUCCAGUCCGGACAGAACAGCGUCCGGGACCAACUGAUGACCCGGAGACUGGAGCUGCGACACCACAACGACCUCUUCAUAAACGAGAGCCUGACCGCCCAGAAAAGCACCAUCUACCGCUCUCUCUUGGACGCGAAGAGGGCCAAGAAGUUGUAUACCGUCUUUACCAGGUGGGGGCAUGUUUAUUUUAAAGCCGAGAAGUUCGGCACGAGUACACGCGUAGAGGACACUGGUAAACUGCGGGAACUCGGGUUCGCGAUUAAGGAGUAGGUUAUGCUAUCUCUGAACCUCCUCAGUGUUAAGCACUCGAGCAGUAGCCUAGUUGUAGCAGUGUGGUCAACGUUCUUAGUUAAUUCAACAUUAUUUGCAUUCUGUUGUAUUAGGUUGUCCAUUACGUGUCUUACUGUGUUUUCCUUCGAUGCCUCUCGUGUCACGAUCCCGUUACGAGCAUUGUGUGAAAUGAUACCAUUUUAUGUUACCCUUUUGUGUUCCUGUUUUUCUCUCGGUUGCUCAUGUGGGUACUGUAUGAUUUUUAUGCGCGUUUUUGUCCUUUCUUUUGUCUUUUUUCAUCCUUUGUUUUUCUUUCCCAUUUACUUGGCCGCCCUGAGGCAACAAUCGCCUAUGCGUGUAUACGUACGCGUGUGUGUGUGUACUGUGUACAGUACAGAAUCCUCGCCUCAGACGGAAGCACUUGCCGCGCGCUCCACAAAUGGCAAAUCUGGGCAACUUGCGUGUGCCGUUCUUUGUGACAGGUGCCGUUGUGAAGAUGACAGAUGCAGUUUUGUGAAGUCUGAUUGUGAGCGCGCCUAUAUAAUGUAAAAUAUACAUGAAAAAAAGAGAACAGUCAAGCGUCCUUCGGGCCUCGUCUGGAAAAAAUAAGGCGGGUCCGGCACCGCCCUGCCGCUGCUCUGGCGUGGGACGGCGCUGGACGGGCGCCGCACCACUCCACUCUCACUGGCGCCUGCAGCCGCCGAGCCGCCGCGCCGCCGGCACCUCGCAGUUUUCCCCAUUCAGCCGGCAGUGGGCCACUUGGCCAGGCCGCCGGCGCUCCGAGUGGCGAGCCGGGGAACAUGCAGCACGCGCUGCGUUAGAAAUGUGACCCUGGGUCGGGUACCGGCAAAAACGCCUCGCUACCCGGGCAUCGUCGUAAACAGGCGGCCGUGGGAAUUGAUGGUCAUUAC